This 460-nucleotide ribosomal RNA is filed under the name uncultured bacterium. RNAcentral describes it as "partial 16S ribosomal RNA". It matches the Rfam family "Bacterial small subunit ribosomal RNA", at positions 338 to 795 of the family's 1533-position model. The record is from RNAcentral.
CCUACGGGAGGCAGCAGUGAGGAAUAUUGGUCAAUGGACGAGAGUCUGAACCAGCCAAGUAGCGUGAAGGAUGACUGCCCUAUGGGUUGUAAACUUCUUUUAUAUGGGAAUAAAGUGUUCCACGUGUGGGAUUUUGUAUGUACCAUAUGAAUAAGGAUCGGCUAACUCCGUGCCAGCAGCCGCGGUAAUACGGAGGAUCCGAGCGUUAUCCGGAUUUAUUGGGUUUAAAGGGAGCGUAGGGGGAUUGUUAAGUCAGUUGUGAAAGUUUGCGGCUCAACCGUAAAAUUGCAGUUGAAACUGGCAGUCUUGAGUACAGUAGAGGUGGGCGGAAUUCGGGGUGUAGCGGUGAAAUGCUUAGAUAUCACGAAGAACUCCGAUUGCGAAGGCAGCUUACUGGACUGCAACUGACACUGAGGCUCGAAAGUGUGGGUAUCAAACAGGAUUAGAUACCCUGGUAGUC